RNAcentral lists this ribosomal RNA (375 nucleotides) under Triticum aestivum (bread wheat). RNAcentral's name for it is "partial small subunit ribosomal RNA". The record is from RNAcentral. Lineage: Eukaryota; Viridiplantae; Streptophyta; Magnoliopsida; Poales; Poaceae.
AUGGCCCGGCGGCUGCCCUGCUCCUGCCUCCAAGCUAUACCCCGUCUGAAAGCUUUUGUCCCCUUCCAUGAAUGGCAACGAUACGGAGUUCUAGAAGCUUUUGUCCCCUUCCAUGGAUGGCAACGAUACAGAGGUCUGGAAGCUUCUGUCCCCUUCCAUGGCUGGCCACGAUACGGAGAUCAUUUGCCUCCUCCUUCGAGCCAGAUCUGCUUCUCCAAUUCAGCCUUCAUUCCAUGUACUGGUGAGUGGCAAGUUCUCAUGGUGCCCAAACAGCACCGGGGUGUUCCCCUGGUGGCCCGAGGAUUCCAAGUGAGCAGGGAAAACCCACCAUGGGGGUCUACUGCCCAGGGUUUAGCAUCCCCAACAACCAAAUGA